ACGGAGAAUUUAUUUCGGUAAAUUCUUAGUGGCGAACGGGUGAGUAACGCGUAGGCAACCUGCCCUUUGGAUGGGGACAACAUUCCGAAAGGAGUGCUAAUACCGAAUGUGAUCCAUUUCUCGCAUGAGAGAUGGAUGAAAGAUGGCCUCUAUUUAUAAGCUAUCGCCAAAGGAUGGGCCUGCGUCUGAUUAGUUAGUUGGUGGGGUAACGGCUCACCAAGACGAUGAUCAGUAGCCGGUCUGAGAGGAUGAACGGCCACAUUGGGACUGAGACACGGCCCAAACUCCUACGGGAGGCAGCAGUGGGGAAUCUUCCGCAAUGGACGAAAGUCUGACGGAGCAACGCCGCGUGAGUGAUGAAGGUUUUCGGACUGUAAAACUCUGUUGUCAGGGACGAAGGUGCGAUCUGCGAAUAGUUGAUCGUAUUGACGGUACCUGACGAGGAAGCCACGGCUAACUACGUGCCAGCAGCCGCGGUAAUACGUAGGUGGCAAGCGUUGUCCGGAAUUAUUGGGCGUAAAGAGCAUGUAGGUGGGCUUUUAAGUCCGAUGUGAAAAUGCGGGGCUCAACCCCGUAUGGCAUUGGAUACUGGAAGUCUUGAGUGCAGGAGAGGAAAGGGGAAUUCCCAGUGUAGCGGUGAAAUGCGUAGAUAUUGGGAGGAACACCAGUGGCGAAGGCGCCUUUCUGGACUGUGUCUGACACUGAGAUGCGAAAGCUAGGGUAGCAAACGGGAUUAGAUACCCCGGUAGUCCUAGCCGUA
RNAcentral lists this ribosomal RNA (760 nucleotides) under uncultured Acidaminococcus sp. Its description in RNAcentral is "bacterial SSU rRNA". It matches the Rfam family "Bacterial small subunit ribosomal RNA", at positions 66 to 804 of the family's 1533-position model. The record is from RNAcentral. Lineage: Bacteria; Bacillati; Bacillota; Negativicutes; Acidaminococcales; Acidaminococcaceae.